RNAcentral lists this ribosomal RNA (253 nucleotides) under uncultured bacterium. RNAcentral's name for it is "partial 16S ribosomal RNA". It matches the Rfam family "Bacterial small subunit ribosomal RNA", at positions 524 to 776 of the family's 1533-position model. The record is from RNAcentral.
UACGUAGGUGGCAAGCGUUGUCCGGAAUUAUUGGGCGUAAAGCGCGCGCAGGCGGUCAAUUAAGUUGGGUGUUUAAGCCCGGGGCUCAACCCCCGGUUCGCAUCCAAAACUGGUUGACUUGAGUGUAGGAGAGGAAAGUGGAAUUCCACGUGUAGCGGUGAAAUGCGUAGAGAUGUGGAGGAACACCAGUGGCGAAGGCGACUUUCUGGCCUAUAACUGACGCUGAGGCGCGAAAGCGUGGGGAGCAAACAGG